AUCGCUUCUCGGCUCUGUAUGAGCUAAGAUCAAGCGUAGUACCUGUUCUUAUCAGUUUAAUAUCUGAUAUGUCCUUUAUUUAAGGAUUGUAUAUUAAAUUAAUUUUUGAAGCAGGGGGUUAGAACAGCAGCUUGCUCUGUCUGCCCUAUGCAUCAACCUGGUAUUGCAGUGUCUCCAGGAAUGGUGCAUCUCCC
Molecule: small nuclear RNA, 194 nt
Organism: Chrysemys picta bellii (western painted turtle)
Lineage: Eukaryota; Metazoa; Chordata; Testudines; Emydidae
Gene: U2
Rfam family: U2 spliceosomal RNA
About the family: U2 is a small nuclear RNA (snRNA) component of the spliceosome (involved in pre-mRNA splicing).
Source: Ensembl